RNAcentral lists this ribosomal RNA (467 nucleotides) under uncultured bacterium. RNAcentral describes it as "partial 16S ribosomal RNA". It matches the Rfam family "Bacterial small subunit ribosomal RNA", at positions 28 to 507 of the family's 1533-position model. The record is from RNAcentral.
GACGAACGCUGGCGGCGUGCUUAACACAUGCAAGUCGAACGGAAAGGCCCUGCUUUUGUGGGGUGCUCGAGUGGCGAACGGGUGAGUAACACGUGAGUAACCUGCCCUUGACUUUGGAUAACUUCAGGAAACUGGGGCUAAUACCGGAUAGGAGCUCCUGCUGCAUGGUGGGGGUUGGAAAGUUUCGGCGGUUGGGGAUGGACUCGCGGCUUAUCAGCUUGUUGGUGGGGUAGUGGCUUACCAAGGCUUUGACGGGUAGCCGGCCUGAGAGGGUGACCGGCCACAUUGGGACUGAGAUACGGCCCAGACUCCUACGGGAGGCAGCAGUGGGGAAUAUUGCACAAUGGGCGGAAGCCUGAUGCAGCAACGCCGCGUGCGGGAUGACGGCCUUCGGGUUGUAAACCGCCUUCGCCUGUGACGAAGCGUGAGUGACGGUAAUGGGUAAAGAAGCACCGGCUAACUACGUG